GGCCCAUUAGAAGUCUACCUCGUGUCUAUUUGACCCAUUGGUCAAUAAAAGACACUCAUGUUUAUGUGUUAAAUUUGAAGGAUGUAUACGUCAUUUGGCAAAACGAUGUCCCUUCAGGUAAGGAGUUUAAGAGUUUGUUUGAGUCAAAGAAGGAUCAAAUUAUAAUUGCAUCUGAAGAUGUUGCCAUUUAAAGAUGAAAAGAAAUCAAACAAAAGGACCGUCCAUGGAGGCAUAGCUUAGGAUUGUACCCCUGUGUGGGACUGAUUAUUUGUAUCCUAUUUUUCCUAUUAUGUAUCCACAUUCAGUUUUAUUCAUAAAGUUUGUAUAAAUUCAGAUUUUGGAACAAUGUUGUCAAAUGACGUAAUACAUCCUUCAGAUCGAUAAGUCUACCCUUGGCACAAAAGGGUCACAUAAUUGUAUAGGAUGCGCAAUAAUUGUUUAUAUGCUAUGUGAUAUAAUUGAGUUUGUUUACAAUCAUUUCAGAUCGAUAAGCCUACCAUUGGCACAAAAGGGUCACAUAAUUGUAUAGGACGCGCAAUAAUUGUUUAUAUGCUAUGUGAUAUAAUUGAGUUUGUUUACAAUCAAAGUAGUGCUUAUGUGUUUAAUUAAUUUUAUAUUUUUUUUGUGAUAUUUUGCAUUAUUCAUUAUGAAUACAAAUUAACACUUUAUCUUUUGAGUUUAUCUUCUUUUUAAGCAAGAGAUUGAUCUAUGUCAGAAUUUAGAAGUCAUUGU
Molecule: long non-coding RNA, 732 nt
Filed under: Solanum tuberosum (potato)
Lineage: Eukaryota; Viridiplantae; Streptophyta; Magnoliopsida; Solanales; Solanaceae
Description: long non-coding RNA (STUB_LNC000873)
Source: RNAcentral